GAUGAACGCUGGCGGCGGGCCUAAUACAUGCAAGUCGAGCGAACGGACGAGGAGCUUGCUUCUCUGAUGUUAGCGGCGGACGGGUGAGUAACACGUGGAUAACCUACCUAUAAGACUGGGAUAACGUCGGGAAACCGGAGCUAAUACCGGAUAAUAUUGUGAACCUCAUGGUUCAAAAGUGAAAGACGGUCUUGCUGUCACUUAUAGAUGGAUCCGCGCUGCAUUAGCUAGUUGGUAAGGUAACGGCUUACCGAGGCAACGAUGCAUAGCCGACCUGAGAGGGUGAUCGGCCACACUGGAACUGAGACACGGUCCAGACUCCUACGGGAGGCAGCAGUAGGGAAUAUUCCGCAAUGGGCGAAAGCCUGACGGCGCAACGCCGCGUGAGUGAUGAAGGUCUUCGGAUCUUAAAACUCUGUUACUAGGGAAGAACAUAUGUGUAAGUAACUGUGCACCUCUUGACGGUACCUAAUCAGAAAGCCACGGCUAACUCCGUG
RNAcentral lists this ribosomal RNA (497 nucleotides) under uncultured bacterium. Its description in RNAcentral is "partial 16S ribosomal RNA". It matches the Rfam family "Bacterial small subunit ribosomal RNA", at positions 28 to 507 of the family's 1533-position model. The record is from RNAcentral.